UACAGGGGGUGCAAACGUUGCUCGGAAUUAUUGGGCGUAAAGCGCGCGUAGGCGGCUAUUUAAGUCGGAUGUGAAAGCCCCUGGCUCAACUGGGGAAGUGCACCCGAAACUGAAUGGCUUGAGUGCAAAAGAGGGCCGCGGAAUUCCCGGUGUAGAGGUGAAAUUCGUAGAUAUCGGGAGGAACACCGGUGGCGAAGGCGGCGGCCUGGGUUGACACUGACGCUGAAGUGCGAAAGCUAGGGGAGCGAACGGG
RNAcentral lists this ribosomal RNA (253 nucleotides) under uncultured bacterium. Its description in RNAcentral is "partial 16S ribosomal RNA". It matches the Rfam family "Bacterial small subunit ribosomal RNA", at positions 524 to 776 of the family's 1533-position model. The record is from RNAcentral.